AUAAAUUCCAGAAACAGAAGAAAAGAUAAGAACGAAGAUGACGCAGAAUGGAUCUCUUUGACUUGUAUUUGGACACUAAUUAGAAAAAUGUAGGCGUACCGGCAGAUGGGCCAGGGAAUCCUUGAGUGGAGACCACGUACCGGAAGUCGAAGCGUGGGCAGACCUCCCGCUAGGUGGACAUCGACGACGACAUCUCUAGCGUUGCGGGGAGCCAGUGGAUACAGGUGCUUUUCAGGUGGAAGUGGGCGGGAGAGUGAGAAUGAUGGAAGAAAGAUAGCAUAUAAAUGGAGCCUUUCCUUUCUCCACACAGACCUUAGCAGGCAAGUGUAGUGAAGUCAGCAAAUUGUACUAAUAUAAUUUGAAUUAUAUAUGUGUGGCUGGUUUUGCUAGGCUUUGAAUUUCCUCCGUCAACUACAUAUUUCUAUGAUAUAGAAGUACUUGUCAUUUCAGUUCUACGUUCUCUGCCAAUGCGAGUGUUACUUGCUGGCGAUUUUAUAGGUGCACAGAAUUAUGCAGUCUUACGACUGUGGGCAGCCUGAUGAGGGAAGUAUCGACGCGCAUGGUAAGGACCUACUUGUCAUUUUAGUUCUACGGUCUCUGCCAAUGCGAGUGUUACUUGCUGGCGAUUUUAUAGGUGCACAGAAUUAUGCAGUCUUACGACUGUGGGCAGCCUGAUGAGGGAAGUUUCGACGCACAUGGUAAGAACCUAUUUGUCAUUUCAGUUCUACGUUCUCUACCAAUGCGAGUGCUGGUUGCUGGCGAUGUUCUCUGCCAAUGCAAGUGCUGAUUGCUGGCGAUGUCCUCUGCCAAUGCAAGUGCUGGUUGCUGGCGAUGUCCUCUGCCAAUGCAAGUGCUGGUUGCUGGCGAUGUCCUCUGCCAAUGCAAUUGCUGAUCGCUGGCGAUGUCCUCUGCCAAUGCAAUUGAUGGUUGCUGGCGAUGUCCUCUACCAAUGCGAGUACUGAUUGCUGGCGAUGUUCUCUGCCAAUGCGAGUGGUACUUGCUGGCCAUUUUAUAGGUAGGUAUACAGACUUAUGCAGUCUCACGACUGUGGGCAGCCUGCUGAGGUAAUAAUCGACGUAGAAGUAAAUAUUUUAGUUUUCAGUUAUUUCCAUUUAUUAUAUUAAUAUAAGUUUAAAUUUAGU
Molecule: non-coding RNA, 1142 nt
Organism: Spodoptera litura
Lineage: Eukaryota; Metazoa; Arthropoda; Insecta; Lepidoptera; Noctuidae
Source: RefSeq, a predicted model, not a curated record